UAUAUGACUGGAAAAUAUAUAUACAUGGAUAAAGUUAUAAAAAUAAGAGCGCCAUACAUUUUAAAAUUCAAAAUAUUUUCAACAUGGCGCACCUUGUAAAGGAAAACCCAAAUUCUAGAUUCAUCCUUGUAUAUAAACAGUUAGCAGAAAACUGUUAGACAGAUAACUAUAUGCUAUUAUUCAUUAAUGAAAUAUUAUUAAAACACAUUCUGCAUUUGAAUUAUUCCAAAACAUUCCAAAAGUUAUAUUUGGUAUAUCAAUAUACUUUUGCGUUUAAAUGUACCUUAGUGUGCAAAACAUACCAGAUUGUAAACCAAAGCAACUAACUUUUUUAACAACUUAUUUGAUCGCAAUUAAAUAUUCAUGAUUCAUAAAUUUUGUAGUUUUCUAUCUUUAAAAUUUCGCAGGGUGUUUCGGUUAGUGGACGUGAUAAAAAUCGAAAGUUUCUAUAGUGUUGCGACUCAUUCUUGAAUAUCACCGGGGGCCAUGGUAAUCUUCCAACCGUUAUAAAUUCCUGCCACUGCACUAUGGUCCCAAAUCCCAAUUUGGUGGCAUAAAAUCGAAUAUUGCAUCUAUCGAGCUGAAACUUGGCAUACUUCAUUAAUAGACCACUCUAAAUAUUUAAGCAAACUUUCAAUGUACAUUCAUCUAUUUGACCAAAUACAAGUUCAACCAGCGCGGAAGAGUGGCGCCCGAUGUCCAUCCACACGUCCAGCAACGUGGCAUGACAGAAUUCAAGCACAUCUAAAUAAUUAAAGCAUCGGAAAAGCCGCAAAAAGCCGCAAACCAAACUAUUAUUAAAAUUUAAUAUAAAGUGUCUACUAUUGUUUAACAUACAUUAAACAACGCACAAAUACGCAGAACACUUUUUUUUCCUCUACAGAAGAGGAACACUUUUGUCAGCUUUUUGAUUUCCUUGGACAACACAAAACAGUACAAAUAUAUAACGUUAAACAAAUUACCACACAAACUGUGUUUAUUAUUCGUAAUUUACAUACCUCCAACUUCAAUAUCCAUUUUAAAUAAUAGAA
Molecule: long non-coding RNA, 1031 nt
Organism: Drosophila nasuta
Lineage: Eukaryota; Metazoa; Arthropoda; Insecta; Diptera; Drosophilidae
Exons: 3
Source: RefSeq, a predicted model, not a curated record